CGGGGGGCAUAGCCACAUUGAAACGGCUCCCCUGGGAAGGUUUCCUGGUAGGCUAAAGGGAAGAAGGAAGAAAGGACACUGGCAUUUGUUAAGCAACUGGAGUUGUGUUCUCCAUCUAUACCACAUUCAGUGAGUUUAGAGUUAUAAAAUCAGAAUGGCUUUAAUGUCUAGAGAUAGACAUAUGCCAUUCUAGUUUUAUAAUAAAUAAUAUAUGUAUGUAAUUCUUUAUCUUAGUGGUGGUUCAAAAUUUAGUGUCCAUAAGACUUACCAUAUAAUGAUUUGUGCGCAAAAAUCGAUUACUUAUGGAUACUUCAAGUGAUUUUCAAAGGUAAUUUCAACGUGGCUUCCGCUCCCCCCUUACUUAAUGACUUGAGAACCUAGCCACUGUGUCUCACUGUAUUCUCAUUUUAGAGAAUGAGAAAACAGGCCCAGAGAGUCUCAAUAAAUUGCUCAACUUUACCCAGCUAGUAAGAGGCUAGAGUUAGGAUUCCAAUCUAGGUCUGAUAGAUCUUGACAGGCAGAGUUGAUGGACAGAAUUUUAUCAUAAUAAAAGGUCUAACUAACCCUAAUUUUGAGAUAAUAUGCCUUUGUUUUAUUCUAAUAUAAAAUUUGCACCAUUCAAAUAUGUGUAGUUUAGUAUAGGCCUAUUGAACAGAAAUAAAUGGUAGCAGUGAGUCUUCCCCCUUUCAGGCCAUGUGUCUGUCUUUGAGGAGAUCACUAUGCCCAUAACCAUCUUACCACCUGUAGAGAAGACCUAAUCCAGAACAUAAAGGGUGCCUCCACACUAUUUUGUGGAAAAUUCAGGCAAAUAGAUAAAAGAGUUUACUAAGGCUUGAGAAAAUGCAACAAAGAAGAGUAUAAGUUUAAAAGGUAAUAAAUUUCAAGUCACCAUAGGCAUAUCAAGAAACUUUAAUAAGUUGGUACAGACUGAUUUGUGUUAAGCCGUGGUAGCUCUAAAGAAUUGUUGUUUUUAGGAAAGGAUGCUGUUACUGAAAAGGAAAACUGACCACUAAAAAUGAUCUGUGUAGACAUCUUGAUAAAUAUGUGAUUUUGGUUUGAAUCAAUUUGUCAUCAAGGACUUAAUUAUUUGGAGGGAUUGAGAAACCAGUAUCUGAGAACAGGAUGCCAAAUAGUGACACUUAGCCUGGGAGUAUCACCUUGUAAGGCCAUUUUUGAGAAGCGCAUGCUUUCAUCACUGUCAGAUCUGUCUGUUCUUUCUAAUUCCAACACUAGAGUAAUCCACAGCCACCCCAUAUCUUGAACAUCUAAACUGGCCAUGAAAAUAGACAGCAACUGCUUUUAGAGGGUAAGCAGAAUUCAUCAAGAGUGACAUUUAUUGGAUGCUUGCUGCACACAAAGUAGAGACAGAAGAAGUGAGCUUUAAGCAAGUGUACUCAAAACUCAGGUUGGGGUUUUCUACCUUUGGUUAGUGCUGGUCUUAUAUGGAGGUAGCCAUAUUAGUUAGGUGCUAAAGGCAACUGUGUUCUUCACUUCUUAAAUACUACUCUCACUGCAGGAGAUAAAGCCUUGUAUAGUUAUAGAUGCAUUUAAAUUCAUUUUCUGCUGGAACAGAUACCCGUUUGACUUUGAAGGAUAGGGGCAGAACACUGGGUCUUUUACAUAGCACUGAAGGAGGUGAGGAGAGAAAGUAACAGGACUAGUUUUGUUUCUCAUUUUAGAGAAACCAGUCCUACAUAUGGGACUUCUCAAGGUGGGCACAGAAAGAAAAUACUUUCUUCUUUUUCACUUCUUGCUUCACCUUUCAAAAAACAACUUUAAAAAUCUUUCCCAAGAAACUUUUCUAGAUUAAGCAAUAUGAAUAAUUAAAUGAAAAUACUGGGGUAAGGGGCAGGGCAGAGCAUAUGGUGGGAGAGAAAUAAAUCAGAACAUCCAAAACAGUCAGAACUUUGAUGUCUGGCUUCUGGGCCUAUUUUUAUUGUGAUGUUAAAUUCCAUUUCUAAAUAAAUACAUAUUUACAUCCUUUAACAAACACUCUGGACCCUGGAGAUAUAAAGAUGAAGAAGAUAUAGAUAGAUAAAGACGAAGAAGAUGAUGGAGAUAUAAAGAUGGUUCUUGAGUGGCUCACAGUACAACAGAGGAGUAGACAUAAAAAGAAACAAAUAUGGCACAGUGACAGGUGCAGGAAGCAUGGUGACUGGAUUCUGCAGAAACAGAUAUCUUGCCGACACAUUGAGACUUUGAGUGAAGUCUGCAUGGAAGAGAAUGGAACUGAGAGAUGGAAAGAUACUGAGUCCCAGUGACAUCUGUUGAGAUGCUGCAUCACACUGGACUGGAUAUGAAGAUGGAGCUACCCCUGUGCUUUUCAGAUACCUAAGUCAAUAAAUCCCCUUGCUUGCUUAGAUAAGUUUGAGUUAGGUUUUCUGUUACCGGCAGCAAGAGAGUACUAUAUUGGAUAUUUCCCAUCUGCUCUCCAGAUUCAAGCUACUCUUUUCCACUUUUCUCUGUGCCCCAAGGCCUGACCUAUGUGCACUGCAUCAAAGAGCUCAUUGGCCCUCUGGCUUCUGAUUGUGUUCAGCCAAAGGAAAUCUCUCUAGAGAGUGAGGUCAGCACAUUUAUUCUCUAGGGCAGGGGUGGGGAACCUGUGGCCUCAAGGCCACAUGUGGACAUCUAGGUCCUU
Molecule: non-coding RNA, 2638 nt
Organism: Microcebus murinus (gray mouse lemur)
Lineage: Eukaryota; Metazoa; Chordata; Mammalia; Primates; Cheirogaleidae
Source: RefSeq, a predicted model, not a curated record